RNAcentral lists this long non-coding RNA (832 nucleotides) under Citrus x clementina. RNAcentral describes it as "Citrus clementina (C. clementina) long non-coding RNA (CCLE_LNC006676)". The record is from RNAcentral. Lineage: Eukaryota; Viridiplantae; Streptophyta; Magnoliopsida; Sapindales; Rutaceae.
UUGAUUGAUACAGAGCACUCUAACUUUAGGAGCAGGCUGAGCCGCAGCAGGAGUGGGAUUUGCGGUUAAUUGCUUCUUGUUUGCUGGAAGUUUGUUGAAGAAACAUGAUGGUUUAUAUGCCAAUUUAGAACAUGAGAUGAAUCUCAUCCUGCAUUCAGUUGAUUAGAAUCUGUUGUGCUUACAAUUGCCUGCACUUUUGAAUGUGUCAUAUUUUGCAGAAUUUUUAGAGAGAGCAGGCUUUGGAUUCUAGAGAGGCAGAUUUCUUUCUCGAAUUGGAUUCCUUUUUAUCCAACAAUUUGUUUCUUCUUCAGAAUUGAGUUUUGUAUUGACUUGAAUAAAUUAUGGACGGAUUUCUUUUUCCCAAUUCUUUGUUCUUCCCACAAAUAUGAUUAGAUAUUGUCAGAAUUGAUUGCAUAUUUAUUUGUAUUACAGUUACAAGUCCCGGAAGAUGACGUUUGAGGAGACUGAAAUGGGCAUGGCAUAUCAAAUUGGACAUGUUGGGUAAACUGAUUUACUUGUUUGAUAUUAAUUUCAAUCCAUAUUCAGUCUUUUAAUGAACUGAAAGAAUAGUUAACUCAUGGCUUCAGAUCUUGUUGACAAUCUUGUUUCAAUUCCUUUGUUAGUUUCUGGCAAGCCGAAAAGAAAGACCGGGUCACUUUUCUUUUAGUUAUAUGCUUGCUUCUCUGCUGUUUUGAUUUUAAUAGGUACUUAUUUCUUUUGUGAAUUUGUAUCAAGUCGUAGUAAUGAUUUAAGACUCUUCAGCUUUGGAAUCUGAAUCAUAAUGGGGGAAAAAGAGGCAGUGAAAUUCAUGGAUUUGUGACGGCUUAAGGCC